This 490-nucleotide ribosomal RNA is filed under the name uncultured bacterium. RNAcentral describes it as "partial 16S ribosomal RNA". It matches the Rfam family "Bacterial small subunit ribosomal RNA", at positions 28 to 507 of the family's 1533-position model. The record is from RNAcentral.
GAUGAACGCUAGCGGCAGGCCUAAUACAUGCAAGUCGAACGGGAUCCAGAUCAAAGCUUGCUUUGGUCUGGUGAGAGUGGUGCACGGGUGCGUAACGCGUGAGCAACCUACCCUUGUCAGGGGGAUAGCCCGGCGAAAGUCGGAUUAAUACCGCAUGACAUCAUUGAGAGGCAUCUUUCGAUGAUCAAAGAUUUAUCGGACAAGGAUGGGCUCGCGUGACAUUAGCUCGUUGGUAAGGUAACGGCUUACCAAGGCUGCGAUGUCUAGGGGCUCUGAGAGGAGAAUCCCCCACACUGGUACUGAGACACGGACCAGACUCCUACGGGAGGCAGCAGUAAGGAAUAUUGGUCAAUGGACGGAAGUCUGAACCAGCCAUGCCGCGUGCAGGAGGACGGCCCUAUGGGUUGUAAACUGCUUUUAUACGGGAACAAACGUCGGUACGUGUACCGGUCUGAGUGUACCGUAAGAAUAAGGAUCGGCUAACUCCGUG